RNAcentral lists this ribosomal RNA (170 nucleotides) under Serratia marcescens. RNAcentral describes it as "partial 16S ribosomal RNA". It matches the Rfam family "Bacterial small subunit ribosomal RNA", at positions 1 to 163 of the family's 1533-position model. Lineage: Bacteria; Pseudomonadati; Pseudomonadota; Gammaproteobacteria; Enterobacterales; Yersiniaceae. The record is from RNAcentral.
UUAAUUGAAGAGUUUGAUCAUGGCUCAGAUUGAACGCUGGCGGCAGGCUUAACACAUGCAAGUCGAGCGGUAGCACAGGGGAGCUUGCUCCCCGGGUGACGAGCGGCGGACGGGUGAGUAAUGUCUGGGAAACUGCCUGAUGGAGGGGGAUAACUACUGGAAACGGUAGC